Molecule: ribosomal RNA, 826 nt
Filed under: Bartalinia sp.
Lineage: Eukaryota; Fungi; Ascomycota; Sordariomycetes; Amphisphaeriales; Sporocadaceae
Description: partial large subunit ribosomal RNA
Rfam family: Eukaryotic large subunit ribosomal RNA
Source: RNAcentral
AUAUCAAUAAGCGGAGGAAAAGAAACCAACAGGGAUUGCCUUAGUAACGGGCGAGUGAAGCGGCAAUAGCUCAAAUUUGAAAUCUGGCGCUUGCGUCCGAGUUGUAAUUUGUAGAGGAUGAUUUUGGUUAGGUACCUUUCGAGUUCCUUGGAACAGGACGCCUUAGAGGGUGAGAGCCCCGUACGAUUGGAUGCCGAGCCUCUGUAAAUCUCCUUCGACGAGUCGAGUAGUUUGGGAAUGCUGCUCUAAAUGGGAGGUAAAUUUCUUCUAAAGCUAAAUACCGGCCAGAGACCGAUAGCGCACAAGUAGAGUGAUCGAAAGAUGAAAAGCACUUUGAAAAGAGGGUUAAAUAGCACGUGAAAUUGUUGAAAGGGAAGGAUUUAUGACCAGACUUUUUCUAGGAGAAUCAUCCGGUGUUCUCACCGGUGCACUUCUUUUAGUUUAGGCCAGCAUCGACUUUCGGCGGUGGAUAAAAGCUUUAGGAAUGUGGCUUCUCUCGGGAAGUGUUAUAGCCUAUUGUAUAAUACACUGCUGGGGGUCGAGGUACGCGCUUCUGCAAGGAUGCUGGCGUAAUGGUUAUCAAUCACCCGUCUUGAAACACGGACCAAGGAGUCGAACAUUUGUGCGAGUGUUUGGGUGUUAAACCCUCACGCGUAAUGAAAGUGAACGGAGGUGAGAGCCCUUACGGGUGCAUCAUCGACCGAUCCUGAUGUUUUCGGAUGGAUUUGAGUAAGAGCAUAAAUGUUCGGACCCGAAAGAUGGUGAACUAUGCGUGGAUAGGGUGAAGCCAGAGGAAACUCUGGUGGAGGCUCGCAGCGGUUCUGAC